RNAcentral lists this transfer RNA (63 nucleotides) under Thalassaphorura encarpata. RNAcentral describes it as "tRNA-Pro". It matches the Rfam family "tRNA". From Rfam's summary of the family: Transfer RNA (tRNA) molecules are approximately 80 nucleotides in length. Their secondary structure includes four short double-helical elements and three loops (D, anti-codon, and T loops). The record is from RNAcentral. Lineage: Eukaryota; Metazoa; Arthropoda; Collembola; Poduromorpha; Onychiuridae.
CAAGAGAUAGUUUAAUAAAAUUUAAGCUUUGGAAGUUUAAGAUAAAGAUUUCUUUUUUCUUGA